UGGGGAAUUUUGGACAAUGGGCGAAAGCCUGAUCCAGCAAUGCCGCGUGUGUGAAGAAGGCCUUCGGGUUGUAAAGCACUUUUGUCCGGAAAGAAAUCCUUGGCUCUAAUACAGUCGGGGGAUGACGGUACCGGAAGAAUAAGCACCGGCUAACUACGUGCCAGCAGCCGCGGUAAUACGUAGGGUGCAAGCGUUAAUCGGAAUUACUGGGCGUAAAGCGUGCGCAGGCGGUUUGCUAAGACCGAUGUGAAAUCCCCGGGCUCAACCUGGGAACUGCAUUGGUGACUGGCAGGCUAGAGUAUGGCAGAGGGGGGUAGAAUUCCACGUGUAGCAGUGAAAUGCGUAGAGAUGUGGAGGAAUACCGAUGGCGAAGGCAGCCCCCUGGGCCAAUACUGACGCUCAUGCACGAAAAGCGUGGGGAGCAAAACAGGAUUAGAUACCCUGGUAGUCCACGCCCUAAAACGAUGUCAACUAGUUGUUGGGGAUUCAUUUCCUUAGUAACGUAGCUAACGCGUGAAGUUGACCGCCUGGGGGAGUACGGUCGCAAGAUUAAAAACUUAAAGGAAUUGACGGGGUCAUAGCUGUUUCCU
RNAcentral lists this ribosomal RNA (590 nucleotides) under uncultured bacterium. RNAcentral's name for it is "partial 16S ribosomal RNA". It matches the Rfam family "Bacterial small subunit ribosomal RNA", at positions 355 to 1375 of the family's 1533-position model. The record is from RNAcentral.